This 495-nucleotide ribosomal RNA is filed under the name uncultured bacterium. RNAcentral's name for it is "partial 16S ribosomal RNA". It matches the Rfam family "Bacterial small subunit ribosomal RNA", at positions 30 to 507 of the family's 1533-position model. The record is from RNAcentral.
UGACCGCUGGCGGCGUGCCUAAUACAUGCAAGUCGAGCGAACAGAUACGGAGCUUGCUCCUUUGACGUUAGCGGCGGACGGGUGAGUAACACGUGGGUAACCUACCUAUAAGACUGGAAUAACUCCGGGAAACCGGGGCUAAUGCCGGAUAACAUUUAGAACCGCAUGGUUCUAAAGUGAAAGAUGGUUUUGCUAUCACUUAUAGAUGGACCCGCGCCGUAUUAGCUAGUUGGUAAGGUAACGGCUUACCAAGGCAACGAUACGUAGCCGACCUGAGAGGGUGAUCGGCCACACUGGAACUGAGACACGGUCCAGACUCCUACGGGAGGCAGCAGUAGGGAAUCUUCCGCAAUGGGCGAAAGCCUGACGGAGCAACGCCGCGUGAGUGAUGAAGGUCUUCGGAUCGUAAAACUCUGUUAUUAGGGAAGAACAAAUGUGUAAGUAACUGUGCACGUCUUGACGGUACCUAAUCAGAAAGCCACGGCUAACUACGUG